AUCAAUAAGCGGAGGAAAAGAAACCAACCGGGAUUGCCUUAGUAACGGCGAGUGAAGCGGCAAAAGCUCAAAUUUGAAAUCUGGUACCUUCGGUGCCCGAGUUGUAAUUUGGAGAGGGCAACUUUGGGGCCGUUCCUUGUCUAUGUUCCUUGGAACAGGACGUCAUAGAGGGUGAGAAUCCCGUGUGGCGAGGAGUGCGGUUCUUUGUAAAGUGCCUUCGAAGAGUCGAGUUGUUUGGGAAUGCAGCUCUAAGUGGGUGGUAAAUUCCAUCUAAAGCUAAAUAUUGGCGAGAGACCGAUAGCGAACAAGUACAGUGAUGGAAAGAUGAAAAGAACUUUGAAAAGAGAGUGAAAAAGUACGUGAAAUUGUUGAAAGGGAAGGGCAUUUGAUCAGACAUGGUGUUUUGUGCCCUCUGCUCCUUGUGGGUAGGGGAAUCUCGCAUUUCACUGGGCCAGCAUCAGUUUUGGUGGCAGGAUAAAUCCAUAGGAAUGUAGCUUGCCUCGGUAAGUAUUAUAGCCUGUGGGAAUACUGCCAGCUGGGACUGAGGACUGCGACGUAAGUCAAGGAUGCUGGCA
This 575-nucleotide ribosomal RNA is filed under the name Saccharomyces cerevisiae (brewer's yeast). RNAcentral describes it as "eukaryotic LSU rRNA". It matches the Rfam family "Eukaryotic large subunit ribosomal RNA", at positions 42 to 631 of the family's 3401-position model. Lineage: Eukaryota; Fungi; Ascomycota; Saccharomycetes; Saccharomycetales; Saccharomycetaceae. The record is from RNAcentral.